CCUACGGGAGGCAGCAGUGGGGAAUAUUGGGCAAUGGAGGCAACUCUGACCCAGCAACGCCGCGUGAAGGAAGAAGGCCUUAGGGUUGUAAACUUAUGUUGUAAAGGAAGAAAAGAAUGACGGUACUUUACAAGAAAGCCCCGGCUAACUAUGUGCCAGCAGCCGCGGUAAUACGUAGGGGGCAAGCGUUAUCCGGAUUUACUGGGUGUAAAGGGAGCGUAGACGGCAGCGCAAGUCUGGAGUGAAAUCCCAUGGCUUAACCAUGGAACUGCUUUGGAAACUGUGCAGCUGGAGUGCAGGAGAGGUAAGCGGAAUUCCUAGUGUAGCGGUGAAAUGCGUAGAUAUUAGGAGGAACACCAGUGGCGAAGGCGGCUUACUGGACUGUAACUGACGUUGAGGCUCGAAAGCGUGGGGAGCAAACAGGAUUAGAUACCCUUGUAGUC
This 443-nucleotide ribosomal RNA is filed under the name uncultured bacterium. RNAcentral describes it as "partial 16S ribosomal RNA". It matches the Rfam family "Bacterial small subunit ribosomal RNA", at positions 338 to 795 of the family's 1533-position model. The record is from RNAcentral.